Molecule: non-coding RNA, 119 nt
Organism: Gossypium raimondii (Peruvian cotton)
Lineage: Eukaryota; Viridiplantae; Streptophyta; Magnoliopsida; Malvales; Malvaceae
Source: Rfam
GGGUGGGAUCAUACUUGCACUAAUGCAUCGGAUCCCAUCAGAACUCCGCAGUUUAAGUGCUUGGGGCGAGAGUAGUACUAGGAUGGGUGACCUUUUGGGAAGUCCUCGUGUUGCACCCC